RNAcentral lists this long non-coding RNA (199 nucleotides) under Daucus carota (carrot). RNAcentral's name for it is "long non-coding RNA (DCAR_LNC001589)". The record is from RNAcentral. Lineage: Eukaryota; Viridiplantae; Streptophyta; Magnoliopsida; Apiales; Apiaceae.
AUAUUUAAUGAUAGAUUUGAGAUAGUGGGGGAAAAUAGUGGGUGUAAUAGUGUUUAUAUUAUUAUAGAAUGGAGAUAGUGAAAGAAUGUAGUGGGUGUAGUAGUGUUUUAUAUUAUAAAAAGUUACUAUAUUUGGAAUGUAUAGAAAUGAUGGGACGUCCCAAAAAGGAAACUGUAUAGAAAUGAGUGGGACGGAGGGA